Molecule: long non-coding RNA, 623 nt
Organism: Magnolia sinica
Lineage: Eukaryota; Viridiplantae; Streptophyta; Magnoliopsida; Magnoliales; Magnoliaceae
Exons: 2
Source: RefSeq, a predicted model, not a curated record
UUCUGGUAUAUUACAAGGUAGGUAAGUGGAAAUGAAAGCCUAAGGUAAGGUCUUCAAUUUUUAUUUUUUUAACAAGAUCUUACUACGGAAAUCUUGUUGUCAAAGGUGAUUCUUGCAAUGUAAUCUCUUGGUAAGGCAAUUCUUGUCGUUGAGGCUAUUGUUUAUGUUUGAGUUAUCUUAUUUAGUUUACAUGUUAAACAUUUCAAUUGAUCACACUAGGGAGGGGCAGCAAACGAUAGUCAGACGCUUAUGCAAAGGUGAGUCUGUGCAGAGUUUAUAGAUUGGGAAUGCUUUCCUGCCUGUUUAGGCCUUGAUAUCUACCCUCUCAGAAGAUCCUUGUCAUCAAAUGGAAUGGACAACUACAAGCAGUGGUUCACCGUUAGCGAGGGUCAACUUGGAUUGUUACAAUCAUGUGAUGUGGGAAGAUCUUGGGGAUAUCUCCAAUCCACCUUGGGGCCUACCAUGAAUGAUUCAGAUCUCCAGGUGGGCUCCGCAUGCAAACCCUGACACAAACUCAAUUUAGCAUUUUAUGAUACCUUCCAAAAGCUUGAUGAUCUUCCAUACUCAUAUCCAGUGUUUGGACUGGUCCAUUUUAUAGGUGUAUUCUUGUUGUUCUUUUUUUU